GACGAACGUUGGCGGCGUGCUUAAUACAUGCAAGUCAACUGAAGCAGUGGUAGCAAUAUCGCUGUGGAGGUGGCGCACGGGUGAGUAACACGUAGGUAAUCUGCCUUCAGGUCUGGCAUAACUCCGGGAAACCGGGGCUAAUAGCAGAUGAUGCAGCGGCUCGACAUCGAGACAGUUGUUAAAGCUAUGGCGCCUGAAGAUGAGCCUGCGUCUGAUUAGCUAGUUGGCGGGGUAACGGCCCACCAAGGCAACGAUCAGUAGCUGGUCUGAGAGGAUGAUCGGGCACACUGGAACUGAGACACGGUCCAGAAUCCUACGGGAGGCAGCAGUAAGGAAUAUUGCUCAAUGGGAGAAAUCCUGAAGCAGCAACGCCGCGUGAGGGACGAAGGGCUUUUGCUUGUAAACCUCUGUAGUGAGAGAAAAAAAUCCCAAUCUUUGGGACAUGAUGGUAUCUCAAAAGUAAGCCCCGGCUAACUACGUG
This 481-nucleotide ribosomal RNA is filed under the name uncultured bacterium. Its description in RNAcentral is "partial 16S ribosomal RNA". It matches the Rfam family "Bacterial small subunit ribosomal RNA", at positions 28 to 507 of the family's 1533-position model. The record is from RNAcentral.